This 492-nucleotide ribosomal RNA is filed under the name Otocrania sp. WS126. Its description in RNAcentral is "partial 16S ribosomal RNA". It matches the Rfam family "Bacterial large subunit ribosomal RNA", at positions 1810 to 2579 of the family's 2925-position model. The record is from RNAcentral. Lineage: Eukaryota; Metazoa; Arthropoda; Insecta; Phasmatodea; Phasmatidae.
AAAACAUCUUUUCUUGUAAUUUAUUUGAAAUUUGUCCUGCCCAAUGAUUUAUUUAAUGGCCGCAGUAUUCUGACUGUGCAAAGGUAGCAUAAUCAUUAGUUUAUUAAUUGUAGACUUGUAUGAAUGGUUUGACGAAAUAUUAGCUGUCUCAUAAUUAAGAUUGAAAAUUAAAUUUUAAGUUAAAAUGCUUAAAUUUUAUUAAGGGACGAGAAGACCCUAUAGAUCUUUAAUUAUCUUAUUUUUAAUUAAUUUGGUUUAUUUAAUUUUUUAUUUAAGAUUAUUUUUGUUGGGGUGACAUUAAGAUAUAAAUAACUCUUAAUUAUUAUUUUCAUUUAUUUUUGUAUUUUUGAUCUUUAUUAAUGUUUAUAAGAUAUAGAUACCUUAGGGAUAACAGCGUAAUUUUUUUUGAGAGUUCAUAUCGACAAGAAGGAUUGCGACCUCGAUGUUGGAUUAAGAUAAUUUAUAGGUGUAGAAGCUUAAUAAAUAGGUCUG